This is a long non-coding RNA of Uranotaenia lowii, 637 nucleotides long. RefSeq lists it as uncharacterized. The transcript is spliced from 3 exons. Lineage: Eukaryota; Metazoa; Arthropoda; Insecta; Diptera; Culicidae. The record is from RefSeq and is a predicted model, not a curated record.
UCGAGAUAAAAUCAUCCAGACUGUCCUGUUUCGGUCCCAGGAAAACUAGCAGCAGGUCAGGACGAUCGACGAUCAGGCAAAGCAGAUUUCCAAUUUUGCUCUACAAACCAAGUUUAAUAGGUUUAGUUUGAACAAUGCUAAGACGUUUUGGCCCGGAUAUGAAAUUUAAAAGCUAUAUGGAUUGUCACGAAAACGCUGCUCGGAAUUAUUCGAGCAUUCAACCCUUCAUCACUGACCGAGACCGAAAACUGCGAAAAAGAUGCGUUCAUCGUCAAGAAGACAGUAAGCUCUGGUGCAGGAGUUUUUUUUUGGAUUUAGAAUAUUUAAUAGAUAACAAUCACAAUCAGUCUGAUGGCCCAUACUCUGAGGAAUUCUGGAAACCAAAUUGGAUUAUUUAUAUCGACUUUUCCACAUGAGCAUCACAUUGGUCAUCCUUUUAUCGGGAAUUCAACACAAUGGCCAUUCUUCCCUUAUUGGUCAUCCUAACAGCAACGUGAUCACAAAUUCAACAAAAAGCUCUUUAUCUGACUAUUUAUCACUUGCCGAUGGAGAAUACUAUUAUUUUAGUUUCUAAAUACACAUAAUAAAGCGAUAGUGAUAUGAUGUCAAUACGAUAUAAAAUAGUGAAAAAACAACA